RNAcentral lists this ribosomal RNA (429 nucleotides) under Verrucomicrobiota bacterium. RNAcentral describes it as "Verrucomicrobia bacterium partial 16S ribosomal RNA". It matches the Rfam family "Bacterial small subunit ribosomal RNA", at positions 355 to 776 of the family's 1533-position model. The record is from RNAcentral. Lineage: Bacteria; Pseudomonadati; Verrucomicrobiota.
UAGGGAAUCUUCGGCAAUGGACGGAAGUCUGACCGAGCAACGCCGCGUGAGUGAAGAAGGUUUUCGGAUCGUAAAGCUCUGUUGUAAGAGAAGAACGAGUGUGAGAGUGGAAAGUUCACACUGUGACGGUAUCUUACCAGAAAGGGACGGCUAACUACGUGCCAGCAGCCGCGGUAAUACGUAGGUCCCGAGCGUUGUCCGGAUUUAUUGGGCGUAAAGCGCGCGUAGGCGGUUUGUUAGGUCAGGAGUUAAAUCUGGGGGCUCAACCCCUAUCCGCUCCUGAUACCGGCAGGCUUGAGUCUGGUAGGGGAAGGCGGAAUUCCAAGUGUAGCGAUGAAAUGCGCAGAUAUUUGGAAGAACACCGGUGGCGAAGGCGGCCUUCUGGGCCACGACUGACGCUGAGGCGCGAAAGCUAGGGGAGCGAACAGG